Ipomoea triloba (trilobed morning glory) is the source of this 2270-nucleotide long non-coding RNA. RefSeq lists it as uncharacterized. The record is from RefSeq and is a predicted model, not a curated record. The transcript has 4 exons. NCBI's taxonomy places the organism in Eukaryota, Viridiplantae, Streptophyta, Magnoliopsida, Solanales, Convolvulaceae.
AGCCUACCCGACACAACCCCAUUAUUCUCUCUCAGAGCCUCUCUCCGUCGAAUCCUCACAGUCUCCUGCAAUUUCCUCUUCCCCAAACCUAAAUAGAAGCCAUAAACCCCGUCCCACCAUUCAAGCAAAAAAAAUACGUACCCGAGGCCAAAGAAGAAGAAAAACAUCUAAUAGCAGAGAUUCGAAGUCUGAUUAUUGCUAAAACAUACAAAUAAAGAAUAUCGGCUGAAAAGAUAAGUGAAUUCCAAUGAUUUAAACUAUAUUUUUGUUGGUCUGUUUUCUAGAUGAUGAUUACGCUUAAUUUACAUCUUUGAUUAACAGUUGAUUGUUUUUUAUUUAUUAAUAAUUAAUGAUAUGAAACCCUAAAUCAUUUAUAUUACACAUACGCACCUAAGUCUAAAUAGAACAACUCAUCGUGAAUGAACAAUUUGAAAUUCAAAUUACUCCUGAAAAUAGAAAAAAAAAACUACACCUACUGAACACAUAAGUAAAAUCUUCAAUUUUUUUUUAAAUUUUUACUAACUGUGUUUCUCUUUUAUCAAUAUACUCCGUAUAUAUACAUCUUAAUUCAUUUGUUGUCUUAUAUAUUAAUUCCUGUCAGUAGUGUUAUUUACUUGAAAAUUUUAUUUAUACUAUAUACAGUAAUAUAAAAUUCUUUUCAUACCUUUAUUUGAAUGACCAUACUUUCUUUUGCAACAAAUGGUGGUAGAUUUUUCUAACUUUCUCAUCUUUCUUUGAGUUGCUGCCUUGCGUGAAUAGUCACAGAGAACCUGAAGUUUGAAAGUAGCCUUUAAGUUUUGGAUGUUUAUUUAUAUAGAAGCAAUAGCACUUGAUUACCUUACUAAAGCACUAUUCUAUUCAUGUAAAGGAUUACUAUUUUCUGGACUUGUGUUAAAGGAGUGAAUUACUUUUUUAUUGGGAAUGUAACAGCUAUCUGAUAUUUGAUUUCAGUUUUCCAUAUCUUAACUACUACUUAGUUUGUAAGAUCAAAUUUUUAGUUCAAAUUCAUACAUGAAAUUCUGAUUUUGUUAUUUGCAAGUGAGUGUACACAUGUUUUUUGAUAGAUAGGGGGAAAGUAUAUCUCUUCAAACAGUAAUGAAUUCAAGUAAAUGACAUGUAUUUUAUAGUUUGCUUGAAAUUGAAUUUCCUCUCUAUUAGGAAUGCAAAAGUUUACUGAUAUUCAAUCUCAGAUUCUUCAUAUUGGUUAAUUAGUUAAUAUUUUGUAUGAUCAACCUCUUCUCUGAACUAAAUUCAUGAAUUAACAAAAUCUAACAUAGUCCUAUUUUUUCCAUCUAAAUUCUAUAUAUAUUUUUUAAAAGUUUAUAAAUUUUUUUCCACAUAUGCCUCACUUUGAAAGUAAAGUAUAUGUCUUAGUUUUUGUUAAAUACACACUAUUAAAGAUUCACAAAAAUUUGUAAUACUGAAAUACUACAUUAGAACGAAUUCAUAUCUGCCUUGUAUUCUAAUAUAUUCUUAACUGAUAAUUUCAUCCCCAAUCAAAUUACUUAUUAAUAACUUCAUAAGUUGUAAUUACACAAUUACAUUUUCAUAGAUGAUUAAGUUUGAAAUCACAACAUAUACUAACAUUGUGAGUAGAGAUCAUUAUUUACAAAUUGUUCUUUGACUUGUAUUCUUUUUUUCCCAGUUUAUAAGUUCAUGCCAGGUUAAUUUAGUUAUUAAUUAGAACUACAUUUAUUUAUUGAUUACUCUUUUUAUUUAAUGAUUUACUAAUAUACAUUAGUAAUUUAAUAAGUUCUCCGUUUGAAUACAUAGCAUUUAUUAAACUAUAUUAUAAUUAGCCACAUAUUGAUAGUUUCACUCUACAAUUAGCCACAUAGUGAUAGUUUCACUCUUUUUUUAGGAAGAAAUAAAACUGGUGCUAGAACUGAUUCUAAUCCAACAAUUGAUACCAGAGGCAAAGCAAGAUUAAAUAGAUAAGGUUCUGAAUUGAAGAUGUGCAUUCUCAAGUAUAAUCACAGGAAAAGGGCACGGCAGGGGUGAACUCGAAUUGCAUUGGGCUCAACCUGAGUUAUGAAGCAGAGCUGUGUGUAUCAGUGAUUUAUGUGAAUGGUGCAAUGUAAUUGUAUGUAUAUAUAUACCCAAAAAAGUAGCAUAGAUACAACGAAAGUAAUCAUUAGGUUGUGGCUACUGCCGUGAACCUAAAUAGGCCUAAAGAGCAGUAAUCGUUUCCUAAGAACGCCAUUAAAUGUAGAUAAGAACUAAUACACCGAUUAGAUUAAAUAUAACCAUAAAAAGAUAAGAAAUAGAAA